RNAcentral lists this ribosomal RNA (381 nucleotides) under uncultured bacterium. RNAcentral describes it as "bacterial SSU rRNA". It matches the Rfam family "Bacterial small subunit ribosomal RNA", at positions 29 to 412 of the family's 1533-position model. The record is from RNAcentral.
AUUGAACGCUGGCGGCAUGCCUUACACAUGCAAGUCGAACGGCAGCACGGGAGCAAUCCUGGUGGCGAGUGGCGAACGGGUGAGUAAUAUAUCGGAACGUGCCCAGUAGUGGGGGAUAGCCCGGCGAAAGCCGGAUUAAUACCGCAUACGACCUGUGGGUGAAAGCGGGGGAUCGCAAGACCUCGCGCUAUUGGAGCGGCCGAUAUCAGAUUAGCUAGUUGGUGGGGUAAAGGCCUACCAAGGCGACGAUCUGUAGCUGGUCUGAGAGGACGACCAGCCACACUGGGACUGAGACACGGCCCAGACUCCUACGGGAGGCAGCAGUGGGAAUUUUGGACAAUGGGCGCAAGCCUGAUCCAGCCAUGCCGCGUGUGGGAAGAA